This 253-nucleotide ribosomal RNA is filed under the name uncultured bacterium. RNAcentral's name for it is "partial 16S ribosomal RNA". It matches the Rfam family "Bacterial small subunit ribosomal RNA", at positions 524 to 776 of the family's 1533-position model. The record is from RNAcentral.
UACGUAGGGGGCAAGCGUUGUCCGGAAUUAUUGGGCGUAAAGGGCACGCAGGCGGUCUUCUAAGUCUGAUGUGAAAUCCCACGGCUUAACCGUGGUAGGUCAUUGGAAACUGGAGGACUUGAGUGCAGAAGAGGAGAGUGGAAUUCCACGUGGAGCGGUGAAAUGCGUAGAUAUGUGGAGGAACACCAGUGGCGAAGGCGACUCUCUGGUCUGUAACUGACGCUGAGGUGCGAAAGCGUGGGUAGCGAACAGG